RNAcentral lists this ribosomal RNA (144 nucleotides) under uncultured bacterium. RNAcentral describes it as "partial 16S ribosomal RNA". It matches the Rfam family "Bacterial small subunit ribosomal RNA", at positions 368 to 509 of the family's 1533-position model. The record is from RNAcentral.
UCAAUGGGCGGGAGCCUGAACCAGCCAAGCCGCGUGAAGGAAGAAGGCGCCAGGCGUCGUAAACUUCUUUUGUCGGGGAACAAAGGGCGCCACGCGUGGCGUUGUGAGUGUACCCGAAGAAAAAGCAUCGGCUAACUCCGUGCC